Molecule: ribosomal RNA, 254 nt
Filed under: uncultured bacterium
Lineage: Bacteria
Description: partial 16S ribosomal RNA
Rfam family: Bacterial small subunit ribosomal RNA
Source: RNAcentral
UACGGGGGGAGCAAGCGUUGUUCGGAUUUACUGGGCGUAAAGGGCGCGUAGGCGGUCAGCACAAGUCAGUUGUGAAAUCUCCGGGCUUAACUCGGAAAGGUCAACUGAUACUGUGCGACUAGGGUGCAGAAGGGGCAACUGGAAUUCUCGGUGUAGCGGUGAAAUGCGUAGAUAUCGAGAGGAACACCUGCGGCGAAGGCGGGUUGCUGGGCUGACACUGACGCUGAUGCGCGAAAGCCAGGGGAGCGAACGGG